GAUGAACGCUGGCGGCGUGCCUAAUACAUGCAAGUCGAGCGAACAGACGAGGAGCUUGCUCCUCUGACGUUAGCGGCGGACGGGUGAGUAACACGUGGAUAACCUACCUAUAAGACUGGGAUAACUUCGGGAAACCGGAGCUAAUACCGGAUAAUAUAUUGAACCGCAUGGUUCAAUAGUGAAAGACGGUUUUGCUGUCACUUAUAGAUGGAUCCGCGCCGCAUUAGCUAGCUGGUAAGGUAACGGCUUACCAAGGCAACGAUGCGUAGCCGACCUGAGAGGGUGAUCGGCCACACUGGAACUGAGACACGGUCCAGAACCCUACGGGAGGCAGCAGUAGGGAAUCUUCCGCAAUGGGCGAAAGCCUGACGGAGCAACGCCGCCUGAGUGAUGAAGGUCUUCGGAUCGUAAAACUCUGUUAUUAGGGAAGAACAAAUGUGUAAGUAACUAUGCACGUCUUGACGGUACCUAAUCAGAAAGCCACGGCUAACUACGUG
This 497-nucleotide ribosomal RNA is filed under the name uncultured bacterium. RNAcentral describes it as "partial 16S ribosomal RNA". It matches the Rfam family "Bacterial small subunit ribosomal RNA", at positions 28 to 507 of the family's 1533-position model. The record is from RNAcentral.